This 1401-nucleotide ribosomal RNA is filed under the name uncultured bacterium. Its description in RNAcentral is "bacterial SSU rRNA". It matches the Rfam family "Bacterial small subunit ribosomal RNA". The record is from RNAcentral.
UAGAGUUUGAUCCUGGCUCAGGAUGAACGCUAGCGACAGGCUUAACACAUGCAAGUCGAGGGGCAGCGGGGUAGUGCUUGCACUACUGCCGGCGACCGGCGCACGGGUGAGUAACACGUAUGGAACCUGCCCGCAGCAGGGGGAUAAGCGGAAGAAAUUCCGUCUAAUACCGCGUAACAACGUUGGGAGGCAUCUCCCGAUGUUUAAAGAUUUAUCGGCUGCGGAUGGCCAUGCGGCGCAUUAGCUAGUCGGCGGGGUAACGGCCCACCGAGGCGACGAUGCGUAGGGGUUCUGAGAGGAAGGUCCCCCACACUGGUACUGAGACACGGACCAGACUCCUACGGGAGGCAGCAGUAAGGAAUAUUGGUCAAUGGACGCAAGUCUGAACCAGCCAAGUAGCGUGCAGGAUGACGGCCCUCCGGGUUGUAAACUGCUUUUAGUUGGGAAUAAAAGGGGGCUCGUGAGCCCCGUAUUGUAUGUACCAUCAGAAAAAGGACCGGCUAAUUCCGUGCCAGCAGCCGCGGUAAUACGGAAGGUCCGGGCGUUAUCCGGAUUUAUUGGGUUUAAAGGGAGCGUAGGCCGGCUUUUAAGUCAGCUGUGAAAGUCCGCGGCUCAACCGUGGAAUUGCAGUUGAAACUGGAGGCCUUGAGUGCACACAGGGAUGCCGGAAUUCAUGGUGUAGCGGUGAAAUGCUUAGAUAUCAUGAAGAACUCCGAUCGCGAAGGCAAGUGUCCGGGGUGCAACUGACGCUGAGGCUCGAAAGUGCGGGUAUCAAACAGGAUUAGAUACCCUGGUAGUCCGCACCGUAAACGAUGAAUACUCGUGUCCCGCGAUAUAUUGUGGGACACUUAGCGAAAGCGUUAAGUAUUCCACCUGGGGAGUACGCCGGCAACGGUGAAACUCAAAGGAAUUGACGGGGGCCCGCACAAGCGGAGGAACAUGUGGUUUAAUUCGAUGAUACGCGAGGAACCUUACCCGGGCUUGAAUUGCAGAGGAAAGAUCCAGAGAUGGUGAUGCCCUUCGGGGCCUCUGUGAAGGUGCUGCAUGGUUGUCGUCAGCUCGUGCCGUGAGGUGUCGGCUUAAGUGCCAUAACGAGCGCAACCCCUUUCCCUAGUUGCCAUCGGUUCUAGCCGGGCACUCUGGGGACACUGCCUCCGCAAGGAGUGAGGAAGGUGGGGAUGACGUCAAAUCAGCACGGCCCUUACGUCCGGGGCUACACACGUGUUACAAUGGGUGAUACAGAGGGCCGGCCGCUGGCAACAUCGGUCCAAUCCUUAAAGUCAUCCUCAGUUCGGACUGGGGUCUGCAACCCGACCCCACGAAGCUGGAUUCGCUAGUAAUCGCGCAUCAGCCAUGGCGCGGUGAAUACGAUCCCGGGCCUUGCACACACCGCCCGUCAAG